Molecule: ribosomal RNA, 500 nt
Filed under: uncultured bacterium
Lineage: Bacteria
Description: bacterial SSU rRNA
Rfam family: Bacterial small subunit ribosomal RNA
Source: RNAcentral
AGAGUUGAUCCUGGCUUAGGAUGAACGCUGGCGGCGUGCUUAACACAUGCAAGUCGAACGAAGCAUUCCAACUCUCGGAGGAAGAAAUGACUGAGUGGCGGACGGGUGAGGUAACGCGUGGGUAACCUGCCUUAUACAGGGGGAUAACAGUUAGAAAUGACUGCUAAUACCGCAUAACCCGCUAGUACCGCAUGGUACAGACGGAAAAGAUUUAUCGGUAUAAGAUGGACCCGCGUCUGAUUAGCUAGUUGGUGAGGUAAUGGCUCACCAAGGCGACGAUCAGUAGCCGGCUUGAGGGAGUGAACGGCCACAUUGGGACUGAGACACGGCCCAAACUCCUACGGGAGGCAGCAGUGGGGAAUAUUGCACAAUGGGGGAAACCCUGAUGCAGCAACGCCGCGUGAAGGAAGAAGUAUUUCGGUAUGUAAACUUCUAUCAGCAGGAAAGAAAAUGACGGUACCUGACUAAGAAGCCCCGGCUAACUACGUGCCAGCAGCCGC